AAAGAAUUAGUUAAAUAUGUGUAUAACAUUAGUAUGUCAAACUUAAAUUAUUACUUUAGUAAUAUUCUUUU
This 71-nucleotide transfer RNA is filed under the name Aporia hippia. RNAcentral describes it as "tRNA-Asp". Lineage: Eukaryota; Metazoa; Arthropoda; Insecta; Lepidoptera; Pieridae. The record is from RNAcentral.